Molecule: ribosomal RNA, 1567 nt
Filed under: metagenome
Description: bacterial LSU rRNA
Rfam family: Bacterial large subunit ribosomal RNA
Source: RNAcentral
UGUUCAUCGGCGUAGAGUGAGUCGGCCCCUAAGGCGAGGCAGAGAUGCGUAGUUGAUGGGAAACAGGUCAAUAUUCCUGUACCGAUGUGUAGUGCGAUGUGGGGACGGAGAAGGUUAGCUCAGCCAACUGUUGGAUAUGUUGGUUCAAGCCUGUAGUCGUGCCUGGUAGGUAAAUCCGCCGGGCUUAGAUGAGGGGUGAUAACGAGGCUGCUUGCAGCCGAAGUGAGUGAUACCCUGCUUCCAGGAAAAGCCACUAAGCUUCAGCUACACACGACCGUACCGCAAACCGACACUGGUGCGCGAGAUGAGUAUUCUAAGGCGCUUGAGAGAACUCAGGAGAAGGAACUCGGCAAAUUGACACCGUAACUUCGGAAGAAGGUGUGCCUUUAGUAGGUGAAGUCCCUCGCGGAUGGAGCCCAAUGAGGUUGCAAAAAAUCGGUGGCUGCGACUGUUUAUUAAAAACACAGCACUCUGCAAACACGAAAGUGGACGUAUAGGGUGUGACGCCUGCCCGGUGCUGGAAGAUUAAAUGAUGGGGUGCAAGCUCUUGAUUGAAGUCCCAGUAAACGGCGGCCGUAACGAUAACGGUCCUAAGGUAGCGAAAUUCCUUGUCGGGUAAGUUCCGACUUGCACGAAUGGCGUAACGAUGGCCACACUGUCUCCUCCUGAGACUCAGCGAAGUUGAAAUGUUUGUGAUGAUGCAAUCUCCCCGCGGAAGGACGGAAAGACCCCAUGAACCUUUACUGUAGCUUUGUAUUGGACUUUGAACAGAUCUGUGUAGGAUAGGUGGGAGGCUUUGAAGCAGGGUCGCUAGAUCUUGUGGAGCCAACGUUGAAAUACCACCCUGGUGUGUUUGAGGUUCUAACCUAGGUCCAUUAUCUGGAUCGGGGACAGUGCAUGGUAGGCAGUUUGACUGGGGCGGUCUCCUCCCAAAGUGUAACGGAGGAGUUCGAAGGUACGCUAGGUACGGUCGGACAUCGUGCUAAUAGUGCAAUGGCAUAAGCGUGCUUAACUGCGAGACUGACAAGUCGAGCAGAUGCGAAAGCAGGACAUAGUGAUCCGGUGGUUCUGUAUGGAAGGGCCAUCGCUCAACGGAUAAAAGGUACUCUGGGGAUAACAGGCUGAUACCGCCCGAGAGUUCAUAUCGACGGCGGUGUUUGGCACCUCGAUGUCGGCUCAUCUCAUCCUGGGGCUGUAGCCGGUCCCAAGGGUAUGGCUGUUCGCCAUUUAAAGAGGUACGUGAGCUGGGUUUAAAACGUCGUGAGACAGUUUGGUCCCUAUCUUCCGUGGGCGCUGCAGAUUUGAGGAAGCCUGCUCCUAGUACGAGAGGACCGGAGUGGACACACCUCUGGUGUAUCGGUUGUCACGCCAGUGGCAUUGCCGAGUAGCUAAGUGUGGAAGAGAUAACCGCUGAAAGCAUCUAAGCGGGAAACUCGUUUCAAGAUGAGAUCUGCCGGGGCCUUGAGCCCCCUGAAGAGUCGUUCAAGACCAGGACGUUGAUAGGUCGGGUGUGGAAGCGCAGUAAUGCGUUAAGCUAACCGAUACUAAUUGCUCGUGCGACUUGAUC